AACGAACGCUGGCGGCAGGCCUAACACAUGCAAGUCGAGCGAGGACUUCGGUCCUAGCGGCGGACGGGUGAGUAACGCGUGGGAACGUGCCCUUUGCUUCGGAAUAGCCCUGGGAAACUGGGAGUAAUACCGGAUGAGCCCUUUGGGGGAAAGAUUUAUCGGCGAAGGAUCGGCCCGCGUUGGAUUAGGUAGUUGGUGGGGUAAUGGCCUACCAAGCCGACGAUCCAUAGCUGGUUUGAGAGGAUGAUCAGCCACACUGGGACUGAGACACGGCCCAGACUCCUACGGGAGGCAGCAGUGGGGAAUAUUAGAAAAUGGGGGAAACCCUGAUCAAGCCAUGCCGCGUGAGCGAUGAAGGCCUUAGGGUUGUAAAGCUCUUUCAGCUGGGAAGAUAAUGACGGUACCAGCAGAAGAAGCCCCGGCUAACUCCGUG
Molecule: ribosomal RNA, 433 nt
Filed under: uncultured bacterium
Lineage: Bacteria
Description: partial 16S ribosomal RNA
Rfam family: Bacterial small subunit ribosomal RNA
Source: RNAcentral